CCUUCUCUCCUUUGUGAGAGUUUUCUUCCCCCUUUGGUGAGGGUCUUCAGCUUGUCCACCUUCUUAGGCGCCGACUCCAGCCAACCUGGAGUCGGUUGCCAUUUUUCCUUUUCUUCUUCUGUUUUCCCCUUCUCUACUCCGUUCUUCUCUUUUCCUUUUCUUCUUCUAUUUUCUUCUCCUGAUGUUUUUCAUCCUCCUUCAUCUUCCUUUUACCCCCACCCAGUGGCUUGUUUGCCACUCAAACCCCUUUGCAUCUGCUAUCUCUACUUUCAAUCCCUUUUCCAAUUUCUCCCUUUUAUUCCUUUCUUCCACCUUUUUCUUUUGUUUCCUUUCAUCUUCCUUCCACCUUUUAUCCUUCUUUCCAACUUUUCCCCUUAUUUUUUUUCCACCUUUUCCCCCUCUUUUCCCCCACGUUCCCCGAUCCAGAUCGGCUUCAUCCUUCUCCGACUUCACAGUCCGACUUGGCUCCCACUUUUUUUCAACGUGAUUUUUUGUGCUUCUCCCAGAAGGUGAGUAGAGCUUUUGCUCGGGUGUUCACACCACCUCCUUCCUAUGGUUUGCCUUUGUUGGCACUAUUGCUAGUGGGUUUUAUCCUGCUAGCUUCCUUCGAUUUAUGGCAGCUAUUACUAUGGUGUGCUGUGGAGGAGUUUGGGGCUCUGUUUUGGGGUCUUGUUGUCACUCUGUUUUCAUCCAGCUUUGGGGCUAUAAUUCUGUUGAUUUCCGAUGGUUGCAGGGGCUGUUCGUUUGGUAAGCAGGUUGAUGAUGGAGGUAGGAAGCUGCUAGGGUUUACUUUGGUGUUUUUCCUGUUCAGGCCUCAAAACUAUGUUUUGGGUUGUUGGGUUACUAUGGAGGUCCAUCUUUUUGUUUGUGUGUUUCUUGUAUUUGGGCCUUCUCUAAUGUAAUCUGUUAUGUUAUAAAUAAAGUAAGCUGUUGUCCAAAACAAAAACAAAAAAAAAAAAAACACCUUUUCUAGUGUUUAGAGCCAUGGUAAACUUUGGGGUCGGCGACAACCCUCUUUCUUUCGGUUUUUUUCUCCUUCAGGCCUUAACUCGCACCUCUCCCUUCCAAAGCUCUUCACCCACUGUUUUGGAGCAACUCUCUAUUGUUUAAUGGACUUCGAUCCGAAAGUCUCCUCUACGCUCUCUUUUGAGUUUAGAUCCAUGGGAUUUUGGGUGGUAUUACAGUUGUGGUGGGUCCAAAUCACCUUCAUGGCUUAGUUGUAGUUUGUGUUUGUUUGUGCCGUUAGAGGUUGUGGAGUCACUUUCGC
RNAcentral lists this long non-coding RNA (1267 nucleotides) under Malus domestica (apple). RNAcentral's name for it is "long non-coding RNA (MDOM_LNC011895)". Lineage: Eukaryota; Viridiplantae; Streptophyta; Magnoliopsida; Rosales; Rosaceae. The record is from RNAcentral.